UGGGGAAUAUUGCACAAUGGGCGAAAGCCUGAUGCAGCAACGCCGCGUGAGUGAUGAAGGUCUUCGGAUUGUAAAACUCUGUCUUUUGGGACGAUAAUGACGGUACCAAAGGAGGAAGCCACGGCUAACUACGUGCCAGCAGCCGCGGUAAUACGUAGGUGGCGAGCGUUGUCCGGAUUUACUGGGCGUAAAGGGUGCGUAGGCGGAUGUUUAAGUGAGAUGUGAAAUACCCGGGCUUAANUUGGGUGCUGCAUUUCAAACUGGAUAUCUAGAGUGCAGGAGAGGAGAAUGGAAUUCCUAGUGUAGCGGUGAAAUGCGUAGAGAUUAGGAAGAACACCAGUGGCGAAGGCGAUUCUCUGGACUGUAACUGACGCUGAGGCACGAAAGCGUGGGUAGCAAACAGGAUUAGAUACCCUGGUAGUCCACGCCGUAAACGAUGAGUACUAGGUGUAGGAGGUAUCGACCCCUUCUGUGCCGCAGUAAACACAUU
Molecule: ribosomal RNA, 490 nt
Filed under: uncultured bacterium
Lineage: Bacteria
Description: partial 16S ribosomal RNA
Rfam family: Bacterial small subunit ribosomal RNA
Source: RNAcentral